UAAACUUGGCUUUAUCAGCCAAUCACAACUACAGGUCCACUAUAAAUAGUUGGAGUUUCCUCCUCAGCUCUCCUCUGACGGUGACGGCCCACCACGUGUCCGGGCCGUUCGACUUCCGGCAUUGAUGCAGGAGCCGAGAGCCUAAGGUGGUGGAGGAUGGUGUCUCCCUGGGAUGCCUCUCCUUCACUAGUGUGCCUCUCCACUGCACAGAGGACAGUUGAAGAAGCCAUGGAGGCAGAAAGGAAGGAGACGUUCGAAUCAAAGCACAGGAAUGUGCCGUUAAGAAUCUUCAGAUCCGUUCAGGCUUAACUCUGAAUGUCUGGCUGUUAGCAGAGAGAGGGAGAGAGAUGAAGGGGGGGAGAAAGAGCACUUUUAAAAAGUGAAAGGAAGAGCUGUCAGAGGUGUCUCCAGACAGGGGCCCGCUCUCCCUCAUAAAUGGAUUUAUAUCUCACAAGGAGUCGGAGGAUCUGUUCCUUCUGUUCUUACUGUGUUCCUGCGUGUCUGUAACUGUGUGUGUGGUGGUUUGCUUUUUUUGUGAACAUCUAUGUUGAUGGUUAGGUUGGACAACAGUUAAAGGUUUGAGA
Molecule: non-coding RNA, 584 nt
Organism: Paralichthys olivaceus (Japanese flounder)
Lineage: Eukaryota; Metazoa; Chordata; Actinopteri; Pleuronectiformes; Paralichthyidae
Source: RefSeq, a predicted model, not a curated record